AUUGAACGCUGGCGGCAGGCCUAACACAUGCAAGUCGAGCGGAUGAAGGGAGCUUGCUCCUGGAUUCAGCGGCGGACGGGUGAGUAAUGCCUAGGAAUCUGCCUGGUAGUGGGGGAUAACGUCCGGAAACGGGCGCUAAUACCGCAUACGUCCUGAGGGAGAAAGUGGGGGAUCUUCGGACCUCACGCUAUCAGAUGAGCCUAGGUCGGAUUAGCUAGUUGGUGGGGUAAAGGCCUACCAAGGCGACGAUCCGUAACUGGUCUGAGAGGAUGAUCAGUCACACUGGAACUGAGACACGGUCCAGACUCCUACGGGAGGCAGCAGUGGGGAAUAUUGGACAAUGGGCGGAAGCCUGAUCCAGCCAUGCCGCGUGUGUGAAGAAGGUCUUCGGAUUGUAAAGCACUUUAAGUUGGGAGGAAGGGCAGUAAGUUAAUACCUUGCUGUUUUGACGUUACCGACAGAAUAAGCACCGGCUAACUUCGUG
This 484-nucleotide ribosomal RNA is filed under the name uncultured bacterium. RNAcentral's name for it is "partial 16S ribosomal RNA". It matches the Rfam family "Bacterial small subunit ribosomal RNA", at positions 30 to 507 of the family's 1533-position model. The record is from RNAcentral.